This 72-nucleotide transfer RNA is filed under the name Allacta xizangensis. RNAcentral's name for it is "tRNA-Tyr". The record is from RNAcentral. Lineage: Eukaryota; Metazoa; Arthropoda; Insecta; Blattodea; Pseudophyllodromiidae.
AGUAGAAUGACUGAGGAUUAAAAAGGUGAUAAAUUGUAAAUUUAUUGAGGAAUGUAUAUUAUUCUUCUACUA